RNAcentral lists this unclassified non-coding RNA (147 nucleotides) under soil metagenome. RNAcentral's name for it is "partial internal transcribed spacer 1". The record is from RNAcentral.
CCGAGUUUACAACUCCCAAGCCCCUGUGAACAUACCAAUUGUUGCCUCGGCGGAUCAGCCCGCUCCCGGUAACACGGGACGGCCCGCCAGAGGACCCCUAAACUCUGUUUCUAUAUGUAACUUCUGAGUAAAACCAUAAAUAAAUCA